Long non-coding RNA from Pezoporus occidentalis (night parrot), 241 nucleotides. RefSeq lists it as uncharacterized. NCBI's taxonomy places the organism in Eukaryota, Metazoa, Chordata, Aves, Psittaciformes, Psittacidae. The record is from RefSeq and is a predicted model, not a curated record. The transcript is spliced from 2 exons.
CUUCAUCCCGGACCUGAUAUGGUGCCUGGAAGCCGCUCUGGCGUGAGAAGAAGGCUGGGAAGUCCCUUGACUCUCCAAAGGCAGCCACACAAACUCCCUGUGUCUCCUGCAGCAGUGGAGGCGAGACCAGCAGCUGUUUCUAACAGAAUGUAAGACUAACCUGAUGUACAAACCUGGUGUGGGUUUUGAACUUUGGUUUCAGUGUUGAACACUGUAUGAAGAAUGCUCUGUGAUGGACACA